Long non-coding RNA from Erpetoichthys calabaricus (reedfish), 144 nucleotides. RefSeq lists it as uncharacterized. Lineage: Eukaryota; Metazoa; Chordata; Cladistia; Polypteriformes; Polypteridae. The record is from RefSeq and is a predicted model, not a curated record. The transcript is spliced from 2 exons.
GGUGACGGAGGCGGGAAAGGGGUGGGGUGCUCUGGAUAACUGUUUUUGUCAUGCCUCUACCCUAAGACCUGUCCAACUUGGGUGUCCCACCUGAAGGCUAAGCUUCUGCUGGUGUAGCUCUUAGGGUUACUGAGGCACGCAAAC